This 534-nucleotide ribosomal RNA is filed under the name uncultured Arsenophonus sp. Its description in RNAcentral is "partial 23S ribosomal RNA". It matches the Rfam family "Bacterial large subunit ribosomal RNA", at positions 175 to 750 of the family's 2925-position model. The record is from RNAcentral. Lineage: Bacteria; Pseudomonadati; Pseudomonadota; Gammaproteobacteria; Enterobacterales; Morganellaceae.
CGAGGCGAACCGGGGAAACUGAAGCAUCUCAGUACCCCGAGGAAACGUAAUCAACCGAGAUUCCCCCAGUAGCGGCGAGCGAACAGGGAACAGCCCAGAGUCAACAUCAAUAUUUACCGCAGGAGAAAGAUCUGGAAAGGCCGGCAAUAAAGGGUGAUAGCCCCGUAUCUGAAGCGGUAAGUGUUGUGAACUCGAAGAGUAAGGCGGGACACGUGUUAUCCUGUCUGAAUAUGGGGGGACCAUCCUCCAAGGCUAAAUACUCCUGACUGACCGAUAGUGAACCAGUACCGUGAGGGAAAGGCGAAAAGAACCCCGGCGAGGGGAGUGAAAUAGAACCUGAAACCGUGUACGUACAAGCAGUAGGAGCACCCGAAAAGGUGUGACUGCGUACCUUUUGUAUAAUGGGUCAGCGACUUAUAUUCUGUAGCAAGGUUAACCGCAUAGGGGAGCCGUAGGGAAACCGAGUCUUAACUGGGCGUUAAGUUGCAGGGUAUAGACCCGAAACCCGGUGAUCUAGCCAUGGGCAGGUUGAAG